RNAcentral lists this ribosomal RNA (449 nucleotides) under uncultured bacterium. RNAcentral's name for it is "bacterial SSU rRNA". It matches the Rfam family "Bacterial small subunit ribosomal RNA", at positions 94 to 521 of the family's 1533-position model. The record is from RNAcentral.
AGUGGCGAACGGGUGAGUAGCGCGUGGGUAACCUGCCCUUAAGACCGGGACAACAGCUGGAAACGGCUGCUAAUACCGGAUGUAUUGUCCGAGAGGCAUCUCUUGGAGAAGAAAGCUGGCCUCUGAAAAUGCUAGCGCUUAGGGAUGGACCCGCGUCUGAUUAGCUAGUUGGUGGGGUAGCGGCCUACCAAGGCGACGAUCAGUAGCCGGCCUGAGAGGGUAAACGGCCACACUGGGACUGAGACACGGCCCAGAUUCCUACGGGAGGCAGCAGUGGGGAAUCUUCCGCAAUGGACGAAAGUCUGACGGAGCAACGCCGCGUGUAUGAAGAAGGCCUUCGGGUUGUAAAAUACUGUUGUUAGGGAAGAACGGCAUCUGUGUAAAUAAUGCAGGUGAUUGACGGUACCUAACGAGGAAGCCCCGGCUAACUACGUGCCAGCCGCCGCGGU